This 103-nucleotide transfer RNA is filed under the name Daucus carota subsp. sativus. RNAcentral describes it as "tRNA trnX-cga". It matches the Rfam family "tRNA". Rfam says of the family: Transfer RNA (tRNA) molecules are approximately 80 nucleotides in length. Their secondary structure includes four short double-helical elements and three loops (D, anti-codon, and T loops). Lineage: Eukaryota; Viridiplantae; Streptophyta; Magnoliopsida; Apiales; Apiaceae. The record is from Rfam by way of RNAcentral.
GGGGAAGUAGCUCAAUGGUAGAGCAAAUACGAAUUAUCCAUUAUCUCAGGAUAUUAAUGUUUCAUGCGAAACAAGGUUCGAGGUUCGAAUCCUCGCUUCUCCA